CAGUCGCCGCGGUAAUACGGAGGGUGCAAGCGUUAAUCGGAAUUACUGGGCGUAAAGCGUGCGUAGGCGGUUCGUUAAGUCUGUUGUGAAAGCCCCGGGCUCAGCCUGGGAAUGGCAAUGGAUACUGGCGAGCUAGAGUGUGUCAGAGGAUGGUGGAAUUCCCGGUGUAGCGGUGAAAUGCGUAGAGAUCGGGAGGAACAUCAGUGGCGAAGGCGGCCAUCUGGGACAACACUGACGCUGAGGCACGAAAGCGUGGGGAGCAAACAGGAUUAGAUACCCGCGUAGUCCCUGUCUCUUAUAC
RNAcentral lists this ribosomal RNA (301 nucleotides) under uncultured bacterium. RNAcentral describes it as "partial 16S ribosomal RNA". It matches the Rfam family "Bacterial small subunit ribosomal RNA", at positions 509 to 807 of the family's 1533-position model. The record is from RNAcentral.